Molecule: long non-coding RNA, 843 nt
Organism: Toxorhynchites rutilus septentrionalis
Lineage: Eukaryota; Metazoa; Arthropoda; Insecta; Diptera; Culicidae
Exons: 3
Source: RefSeq, a predicted model, not a curated record
UGGGAUUCUCUCUUCUUUCUAUGUAUUGGAUGUUUGGCAACGCGAGUGCCGCUCCCGAUUUUAGAUUUGAGCAACUAGCCAAAAUGGGUGCUGGAUGUGACUGGGCGGCUGUUUUAGCCAAGACACCCACCUACCAACACUCCGAAAGACUCAUGCUUUCCUUUUUUUUGCUAUUUUUUCAUUUGGAUAUUUCCCCCAAAUGGCAGAGUCUUUCGGCGGGGUUUUCUUGUUCUUCAAAUUUCAAAACCCGGCGAGCGCUUCGACUUGAACUCUGCUCGGGAGGUUAAAGGGUAUCGCCCGCGAAUGCUUGAAUGCGCGACCAAUGAAAGCGCAGGGGAAUUUCGGUAUGAAUACAAAAUAGUUAACAUCGUUAACUAUUACGUAAUUCCGGUUCCAAUGAAUGUCUCGCUGAUCUGAGGAUCUUGAGAUAUGCUUGCCAUUCCGACUUCGAAAGUGAAAAAGGCAGGAGCGGAUUAGUUUGUUCUGGUGUCGCGAGUUGAAAUCCGAAGAAUAGUGAUUAAAUUUAGUCCAGUAGUUGUUUUCCGUGAAUUUAACUCUCCGCUUGUGUCCCCAUUGAGCGGAACUGAAGGAAAAAGCCGCUUCUGACCCACGAUCGGAGAUUGGAUUUCCGCCACCUUGUCCGUCAAUUCUAGUGGCCGCGCGGAGCGCAAACCAUCACUCGCGCAUCCAGGGAAGGCGCAUCACGACACAUCUACGAGUCGAACGCGCACUCAACGCCUACGGACUUACCAUUCAUCGCCUGGCGUGGAACGGCGAUAAGGUAGAUUCUCCACGUAAAACCUAGGUAGUGUGAGUAGAAAACUAUUUUUACCCUAAAAUAAC